GUCGUAGAAGGCAAAUGGUUAGCCACCUGACCUUCAAUCAGUUGCUCGCGGGUUCGAAUCCCGUCUACGACUCCA
Molecule: transfer RNA, 75 nt
Filed under: Erwinia phage phiEa21-4
Lineage: Duplodnaviria; Heunggongvirae; Uroviricota; Caudoviricetes; Andersonviridae
Also listed under: 6 other names
Description: tRNA-Glu
Rfam family: tRNA
About the family: Transfer RNA (tRNA) molecules are approximately 80 nucleotides in length. Their secondary structure includes four short double-helical elements and three loops (D, anti-codon, and T loops). Further hydrogen bonds mediate the characteristic L-shaped molecular structure. tRNAs have two regions of fundamental functional importance: the anti-codon, which is responsible for specific mRNA codon recognition, and the 3' end, to which the tRNAs corresponding amino acid is attached (by aminoacyl-tRNA synthetases). tRNAs cope with the degeneracy of the genetic code in two manners: having more than one tRNA (with a specific anti-codon) for a particular amino acid; and 'wobble' base-pairing, i.e. permitting non-standard base-pairing at the 3rd anti-codon position.
Source: RNAcentral